CCUACGGGAGGCAGCAGUGGGGAAUAUUGCACAAUGGGCGAAACCCUGAUGCAGCGACGCCGCGUGAGUGAAGAAGUCUUUCGGUAUGCAAAGCUCUAUCAGCAGGGAAGAAAAUGACGGUACCUGACUAAGAAGCCCCGGCUAACUACGUGCCAGCAGCCGCGGUAAUACGUAGGGGGCAAGCGUUAUCCGGAUUUACUGGGGGUAAAGGGAGCGUAGGCGGCCAGACAAGUCAGAAGUGAAAGCCCAGGGCUCAACCUUGGGACUGAUUGUGAAACUGCCGGGCUGGAGGACAGGAGAGGUAAGCGGAAUUCCUAGUGUAGCGGUGAAAUGCGUAGAUAUUAGGAGGAACACCAGUGGCGAAGGCGGCUGACUGGACUGUAACUGACGUUGAGGCUCGAAAGCGUGGGGAGCAAACAGGAUUAGAUACCCGUGUAGUC
RNAcentral lists this ribosomal RNA (440 nucleotides) under uncultured bacterium. Its description in RNAcentral is "partial 16S ribosomal RNA". It matches the Rfam family "Bacterial small subunit ribosomal RNA", at positions 338 to 795 of the family's 1533-position model. The record is from RNAcentral.